CACCGGUUUAAACUCAGAUCAUGUAAAAUUUCAAAGGUCGAACAGACCUAAUUUAUCAGCUUCUUCACCAAUAAUUUUUUUUAAUCCAACAUCGAGGUCGCAAUCUUUUUUUUUGAUAAGAACUCUAAAAAAAAUAACGCUGUUAUCCCUAAGGUAAUUUUAUCUUACAAUCUAUAUUUUAGGAUCAAUAAUUCAUAAAUAAAUGAAUUUAUAAAGAAAAAGUUUAUUUAAUUUU
Molecule: ribosomal RNA, 235 nt
Filed under: Trigonopterus sp. 624 MB-2015
Lineage: Eukaryota; Metazoa; Arthropoda; Insecta; Coleoptera; Curculionidae
Description: partial 16S ribosomal RNA
Source: RNAcentral